AAUGAUAAAGCAUUGUGGAAUAUUAUGUGGUCUUAUAAAGAUCAUGGUAAGAGUUAUGAUGCUAUUUAUCAUCAAGAUCAUGCUCCUGGUUAUCGUUG
This 98-nucleotide transfer RNA is filed under the name Photobacterium piscicola. RNAcentral describes it as "tRNA-Tyr". The record is from RNAcentral. Lineage: Bacteria; Pseudomonadati; Pseudomonadota; Gammaproteobacteria; Vibrionales; Vibrionaceae.